RNAcentral lists this ribosomal RNA (425 nucleotides) under uncultured bacterium. Its description in RNAcentral is "partial 16S ribosomal RNA". It matches the Rfam family "Bacterial small subunit ribosomal RNA", at positions 354 to 796 of the family's 1533-position model. The record is from RNAcentral.
GUGGGGAAUCUUGCGCAAUGGGCGAAAGCCUGACGCAGCCAUGCCGCGUGAAUGAUGAAGGUCUUAGGAUUGUAAAAUUCUUUCACCGGGGACGAUAAUGACGGUACCCGGAGAAGAAGCUCCGGCUAACUUCGUGCCAGCAGCCGCGGUAAUACGAAGGGGGCUAGCGUUGCUCGGAAUUACUGGGCGUAAAGGGCGCGUAGGCGGACAGCUUAGUCAGAGGUGAAAGCCCAGGGCUCAACCGUGGAAUUGCCUUUGAUACUGGCUGUCUUGAGUUUGAGAGAGGUGAGUGGAACUCCGGGUGUAGAGGUGAAAUUCGUAGAUAUUCGGAAGAACACCAGUGGCGAAGGCGACUCACUGGCCCAAUACUGACGCUGAGGCGCGAAAGCGUGGGGAGCAAACAGGAUUAGAUACCCCUGUAGUCC